GUAAAUAAUAAAGGGCGUAUGGUGGAUGCCUAGGCUCUCAGAGGCGAUGAAGGACGUGAUAAGCUGCGAAAAGCUCCGUUUAGGUGCAAAUAACCUUUGAUGCGGAGAUCUCCGAAUGGGAUAACCCAAUAUGUUGAAGACAUAUUAUACCGUAAGGUAGGCAAACGCAGGGAACUGAAACAUCUAAGUACCUGCAGGAGAAGAAAACAAACGUGAUUCCCCCAGUAGCGGCGAGCGACCGGGGAUAAGCCCAAACCGUUAUUGUUUCGGCAGUAGCGGGGUAGUAGGACUGCGACAUUGAUGAAAUAAAUGAAAUGGAACACUUUGGAAAAUGUGAUCACAGAGGGUGAUAAUCCCGUACAUGUAAGUUUAUGAAUCAUAGCAGACUCCUGAGUAAGUCGGGACACGUGUAAUCCUGACCGAAUCCGCCGGGACCAUCCGGCAAGGCUAAAUACUCCUGAGAGACCGAUAGUGAACCAGUACCGUGAGGGAAAGGUGAAAAGCACUUCGAACAGAAGAGUGAAAUAGUCCCUGAACCCAUACGCCUACAAGCAGUCGGAGCCGCUUCGUGCGGUGACGGCGUGCCUUUUGCAUAAUGAGCCUACGAGUUACUCAUCACCAGCGAGGUUAAGUACUUCAGGUACGUAAGCCGAAGCGAAAGCGAGUCUGAAUAGGGCGUCAAGUUGGUGGUGGUAGACGCGAAACCUUAGUGAUCUACCCAUGGGCAGGGUGAAGGUUUGGUAACACAAACUGGAGGCCCGAACCGGUAAACGUUGAAAAGUUUUCGGAUGACCUGUGGGUAGGGGUGAAAGGCCAAUCAAACUGGGAAAUAGCUCGUACUCUCCGAAAUGCAUUUAGGUGCAGCCUCUGUUGUUUUGUUCUAGAGGUAGAGCUACUGAUUGGAUGCGAGGGCUUCACCGCCUAUCAAAUCCGGCCAAACUCCGAAUGCUAGAACAUGAAGACAGGGAGUGAGCCAGCGGGUGCUAAGGUCCGUUGACGAAAGAGGGAGAACUCAGACCAUCAGCUAAGGUCCCCAAUUAUAUGCUAAGUUGGAAUAAAAACGGGGUGGGACUGCUUAGACAGCUAGGAUGUUGGCUUGGAAGCAGCCAUUCAUUUAAAGAGUGCGUAACAGCUCACUAGUCGAGCGGUCCUGCAUGGAUAAUACGCGGGCAUAAGCAUAUAACCGAAGCUAUGGGAUUGUAGAUGAUACAAUCGGUAGGAGAGCAUUCCAUUCAGCAUAGAAGCAGUAUCGUGAGGUAUUGUGGAGCGGAUGGAAAAGCAAAUGUAGGCAUAAGUAACGAUAAUGCGGGUGAGAACCCCGCACGCCGAAAGAUCAAGGAUUCCCCGGCAAUGUCAAUCAUCCGGGGGUAAGUCGGAUCCUAAGGGUAAGCCGAGUGGCGAUCCCGAUGGCAAACAGGUUAAUAUUCCUGUACUGAUCAUAACUGCGAUGCAGCGACGCAGAGGUGACACUGCUGCGUACUGACGGAAUAGUACGUUGAAACCCGUAUUCUUUGAUACCGGUAGUGAAGCACGCCGGUAGAGAUGAAAGGUGAUAGUACCGCAAUGCUUCGGUUGCGCGGAUAAUGCAGGUAAGCUGACUGCCAAGAAAACCUGCUAAGCUUCAGGUAAUGAUCAUCCGUACUGUAAACGGACACACGUGAUCAGGUAGAAAAUACUAAGGCGCUCGAGAGAUUCAUGGUUAAGGAACUAGGCAAAAUGGUCCUGUAACUUCGGGAUAAAGGACGCUCUUGUGAAAGAGCCGCAGAUAAUAGGCCCAGGCGACUGUUUACCAAAAACACAUGGCUAUGCUAAUUCGCAAGAAGAUGUAUAUGGCCUGACACCUGCCCGGUGCCGGAAGGUUAAGAGGAGAGCUCAGAGGUAACUCGAAGGUUUGAAUUGAAGCCCCGGUAAACGGCGGCCGUAACUAUAACGGUCCUAAGGUAGCGAAAUUCCUUGUCGGGUAAGUUCCGACCUGCACGAAUGG
This 1984-nucleotide ribosomal RNA is filed under the name human gut metagenome. RNAcentral's name for it is "bacterial LSU rRNA". It matches the Rfam family "Bacterial large subunit ribosomal RNA", at positions 1 to 1999 of the family's 2925-position model. The record is from RNAcentral.